This 1226-nucleotide long non-coding RNA is filed under the name Anser brachyrhynchus (Pink-footed goose). RNAcentral's name for it is "lncRNA (ENSABRG00000015793.1)". Lineage: Eukaryota; Metazoa; Chordata; Aves; Anseriformes; Anatidae. The record is from RNAcentral.
AUGCUGACCCCUUUCUUCUUUCUCUCUCUCUCAGAGGAACAAGGCAUGACAGAGGACAGCUCCAUCACGCUCACCUUGCACAGCUUACAGCUGCCCUUUUCCAACACCUGGAAGUACGGGAUCUUGGCAAUAGCCAUCCUCUUGCUCCUGGUGGCCCUGACCAUCUUAGCUUGCCAGGUGUGUCAGCUCCAGAAACGCCACAGGGCUAGAAAAAAGAAGAAAUACCACAGUGAAGACAGGGUGAGGAUAAAGGCAGAGAAUGGCUUUUGGGGGAAGAAGAUGCCACCUCUCCUGCUUGACACCUCUAAGGUGAGCAAUGCGGAUUUCAAGGCAAGUACGUUGAUGCUAGGGCAAGGUCAAGAGCCAUCAUUGUUGGCAGAAACCCCACAGGGUCAAGAGGUGGGCUGACUGACAGCCUCUCAACUCUGCUAGAAAAGAUGCAAAACCCUGUGGCAAGAAAACGUAUAAAGAGAGAAUGUCUCCAGCUGAAAGGAACGGAGGAAGCAAAAUACUGCUCUUUCACUUAAAUAACAACUCUUCAUAUGGGGUGCCAGGGCCAGACCUGUGUCAGGGCCAUGAGCCCGCUUGCCCCUGUUUCCCAGGCAGGACCAGACAGUCCCGGAGAUACACAGGAGGAAAGUGGAGGAGCAAAAGAAGCAAAGCACUGACACACGAGGACCCCAGUGAGGUUGUUUUAUGGGUACUGCAGUCUGCCCACAGCCCCCGUGCACUCAGGCCAUGUGUGUCAUCGUCCCUCAGCCUCCCAGCGGGUACUGGGAGUGCCCUGGGUGAGUUUUGGGUGACAAAUUCAGAUUUAGACAUCUCCUACGUAGGGCUGCUAGGAGAUGCUCCAGCUCUGCAGGCUGCAAGCAAGACGUAGGAGGUAGGUGUCGCAGUGUGCAGCAGGGACCUUUGCAGCUACUUCAGGUGUUUUUGGGGCAGUCGCAGAGCUCAUGGAGUCUGUCACUGAGGGAAGUGAAGAAACCCGCAAGUGCCAUUUCUGGGGAAACUGGUGAAAAACCUCACUCGAUCAGAAGUUUCACUUCUCCUUGCUUCUCCUUCAUCCAGAAUUUAUCCGGUUUUCUUGAAGAAGCAAUCGCGGGCCUUUCCCAUCCCCUCUCCCUCCCCCACAACCCGCUUUCUUCCCCACUUCCAGCCUGUGCCUCUGUUAUGGGAGGGAUGUGGUUUCCAAUAAAACGAAUUCCUCAAGUUCCUGCUGACCUCCC